CCGGAUUUAUUGGGCGUAAAGAGCUCGUAGGCGGUUCAACAAGUCGGUCGUAAAAGUUUAGGGGCUNAACCCUAAAAUGUCGAUCGAUUACUGGUGUGACUAGGAUACGGUAGAGGUGAAUGGAAUUCCGAGUGUAGCGGUGAAAUGCGUAGAUAUUCGGAGGAACACCAAUUGCGAAGGCAGUUCACUGGACCGUGAUCGACGCUGAGGAGCGAAAGCUAGGGGAGCAAACAGGAUUAGAUACCCUGGUAGUCCUAGCUGUAAACGAUGGAUACUAGAUGUAGGAACUGGAUUGACGGUUUCUGUAUCGUAGCUAACGCGUUAAGUAUCCCGCCUGGGGAGUACGCCGGCAACGGUGAAAACUCAAAGGAAUUGACGGGGGCCCGCACAAGCGGUGGAGUAUGUGGUUUAAUUCGAUGCAACGCGAAGAACCUUACCAGGGUUUGACAUCCUGCGAACCUCUUGGAAACGAGACGGGUGCCUUCGGGAGCGCAGUGACAGGUGGUGCAUGGCU
Molecule: ribosomal RNA, 514 nt
Filed under: uncultured Acidimicrobiales bacterium
Lineage: Bacteria; Bacillati; Actinomycetota; Acidimicrobiia; Acidimicrobiales
Description: bacterial SSU rRNA
Rfam family: Bacterial small subunit ribosomal RNA
Source: RNAcentral